CACUGACCGUGAUAAUGUAGCGUAAUCAAUAGCCAAUUAAUUGUUGGCCGGUAUGAAUGGCGUCACGAAGGCCCCACUGUCUUAAGAGGACUCUCCAUGAAAUUGAAUUCGUAGUGAAGAUGCUACGUCCAUAUUGUAAGACGAAAAGACCCCAUUGAGCUUUACUAAAGACUUGCAUGGCUCAAAAUAAUUUAAUUUAAAUAAAAAGUUUAGAUAAUGUGGGAUCCAUUUUCGGCUAAUGAAACACCACUCUUUUAUUUUAAGAGAGCUAACAUCGCAGGGAUAAUGUAAGUUGGAUAGUUUGGUUGGGGCGACCACCUUUUAAAAGGUAACGAAGGUGAGCUUAAGGUCCGUAGUUAAUAGUCGGUGGCCUGACUGCAAGGGGGACGUCUCGAGCAGACACGUUCUUAGGGAUGUGGGCUAUAGUGACCCGUCAUCUUAGCGUGGAAUAGUUGACGAUCAACGAAUAAAAGCAACCAUGGGG
This 484-nucleotide ribosomal RNA is filed under the name Stephanthus antarcticus. RNAcentral's name for it is "partial 16S large subunit ribosomal RNA". It matches the Rfam family "Bacterial large subunit ribosomal RNA", at positions 1940 to 2473 of the family's 2925-position model. The record is from RNAcentral. Lineage: Eukaryota; Metazoa; Cnidaria; Anthozoa; Actiniaria; Hormathiidae.